AUGUGGAUACAUUUCCUUUGUGGUGUUCCCGACAGAGCAGAGCCUGCGCUGGCUUCCUCCUCCUACCUCGUGGCUCCGGAAGAGAACAGUGUUCCACGCAGGAAAUGCGUGCGGCUGAAAUGUGUGCAGAUAACACUUUUGUCAAUUAGGUCAAACAAGACCAGCAGGCAGCGUGUGCGGUCGCGGCUUUCUAUCUGUAAACGUCCGGGAUCCGCGCCCUCAGGGGCGGUUCACACGACACUCCUCAGAGCUGCUUUUAUGAUCGUGCAGCGUUCCCGACCCAGUAAGCGCCGCAGGAUUUCGUUAGGACCGUCUCCCGUUGUUUACUCACCAUCCAUCCUGGGAUGCAGGAAUCUCUUACUGCCCUGUUGAUUCUGGGCCACCGACCUGACCUUCCGUUUCACUGGCCCUGCUUCUCGGAAGUAUCUCACAUUCGAUGUAAUGACACUAAAUUAUCCGAGCUGCUUAGUGCUGUGUAGUGUCUGGAACAGGGUUUUGGAUGGUUGGGACUUGCUGUUUCCCUGAAUUAUUUGGCAUGACUGACAUUCUGAAGAGAAACUGCUCUUGUCUGUGAGUGGAGCUGAGCCCUCGGCCAUUCACUCGCCUCCAACCGGUUCAACAAGGGUUUGUUCACACGUCAGUGAAACAGCCACGUGUGCCGGGCUCCAUGGCUCCCAGUCGCAUCAGACCCAGCACUGCCCUCGGGAGGGGGAAAGCGUGUCGAGGCACGCCCUGAGCUGCCCCACAGGUCGGACUGGGUGAACCCACGGUGGCCCGAGGGGAAGGGGCUCAGUGGACGUGCACGGGACGGCUGCUGCCUCACCUUCGCCCUCCCCAAACACGAGCCACUCCGUGGCCUCACUCCCCCCAUCUUCAGCCUCCACGGAAAACACGGGUCCUAGAGGCAGGCGACAGAAGUGAGACAAAGGGAGACACAGAGAGAAAGCCACAGUCUUCCCCCCAGACACAACGAACCCAAGUAGAACAAAGAGCUGUUCUCGGAUUCAUAAGAAACACGCAGCAGGCACUUCUUAGCUUGUGUCGGACGUAGCCCCUUCCUCAAGAACAACCAACGAGGCACAGUAACCGCGUGGAAAGACCAAGAAUUUUCCUGUGAGUGAGGAGAAUGGUGCAGGAGACGUGCAGAAGAGGCUUGGCAGAGUGGACAUGGCGAGAGUGAGUGCAGACCACCAGCACAGCAGCCCCCGUGGCCACGGCCUCCCCGAGUCCCUUGGAGGGAAGGGGAACACGUGGCAGGGGUGCGUCUGCUUUGUCUCUUCAUGCUGAGAUCAUUAGCUCUUCUGAUUAAAAACAAAACCCAAAAAACCCAGACUGCUUCAGCGUCUGGAUGCUUUCCUAUCUGCGAAUGCUG
RNAcentral lists this long non-coding RNA (1372 nucleotides) under Ursus maritimus (polar bear). RNAcentral's name for it is "lncRNA (ENSUMAG00000004833.1)". Lineage: Eukaryota; Metazoa; Chordata; Mammalia; Carnivora; Ursidae. The record is from RNAcentral.